CAGAUCCAAGUUUUAUGUUUGUCUACACACUCCCAUCUUCUUCCCAUAUCAGCAGGAAAAUUCACUCCAAUCAUCUCGCCAUUCUACACUUGGGAAAUCAGGUUUGCUUCAAUCUACCAUCCUUGAAUAUAUGCCCCACAUCUUGUUUCUGCGUCCUAAUCUUAUUAAGCUUGUAAUUAGUAGUUAGUGCAAGAUCAAAAAGGAGCUAUGGGCAAAACACCAUCCGCACCUGCUGAUUUAAUCACCAUAGGACAAGCGGCGCCUAAUCAUGAAAUAGCAGGAGAUUCAAGUGACAGUGAGAGAACAAUCAGUGAGGGUUAUGUGGGGAUCAUGUAUGGUGGUAGCCAAACCCACGAUAGCAACCUGGAAGGAGAAUCUGACAUGGUAUUGCUAGCAACAGAUUCAAGUGACAGCGAGAGAACAAUCAGUGAGGGUUAUGUCGGGAUCCUGUAUGGUGGUAGCCAAAUCCAGGAUGGAGACCUGGAGGGAGAAUCGGCUAUGGUAUUGCCUGCUGUAGGAGAGAAUACCACGGCGAGAUCUAACAGUCAUGGUCAUACGCGUAGCUUGGAAAUUGAUUCUACCUCUUGUACUGGGAGGCAUGCUGCCAGGUCAGAUUUUGUUCUAGUGGCACAACGCCGAGACUGCAUACAAAUUUACCCUGAGUGGCUGGAGAAAAUUGAUUCAGGCAAAAAGAUGUGGAUAGCUCUCAAAAAAUUUCGAGCAAAUGGGAAGCAUGAAGAGGUUAGUAUAUACACAUGUUCUGGUGUGCUCUCUCAUCAAAUAAUUUUCAUUGUGGGUUAAUCAUCUCAUAACAUAAGGAGUGUUUGCUUGAUGGGCAUUCAGACCAAAUGAUGAACGAAUUAGAUCCUAGGUUCUCCAAAAGAUGACAUUGUGUUUUGCUUCCGUUACCUCAUAGAUUUUCAGCCUUUGCGUCAAAAUGAUUUUAUGCAUUUGUUUUCGCACUAACUUGUAUUUUUUUAAGCACAACCAUCCAUAUAUGUAAAAAAAACUCAUGGCCACUUGUGCGAUUGAUAGAAAUCAGUUAACAUCUCAAUUUCCUCAUGUGCUAUUGUAUGACUAUGGAGGUUUUUCUAACAUGAUCCUUCUUACCUCCCCUUUUCACAUGAGACGUAAGAGUAUAAAGUAAAUCUGAGUCAUUGACUGCAUUAAGUAGUGGGCUUGACUAAAUCUUACCUUCUUAACUCCCAUGUGAAAAGAUGGGGUAAGAGGAAGCAUGUUAAAAUGGCUCAUGAACGGUGCUGCCGCCAGUGGCAGAGCUUGAGCAUAAUCCAAGAGGGCCAUUACUUGAAGGGGGGGAAAUUAGAAGGGAAGGAGGGGAAAAUAUCUAGUUUAAACACUAGUUAGGCUUAAAAUAUAGUAUAUUCAUUGAUGGGUGCAAAAAUUAAGGGGGGCCAUGGCCCCUGUUGGUCUACAUGAAGCUCCGCCACUUGCUGCCGCACAUUCUACAGUAUUGUUAUAGACACUGACUGACUCUUAUUUUUGCACUAUAUCCAAAUGUACUAGCAGUCAUAAGACACCAAUCUGUCAGGAUCUCGGCUUUUGGCCUUCUGCUAGGAUGCACUAAAGAUAUUGAUAAGUCUCGCCAUUCCUGGAUGUUGUGAAGGUUACCUGACUGGAACAGAUUGUUCUGGAGAAGGAUAUGGAGGCGCGGCAAACCUAAAGCAACGAUGAUGCAACAAAUGGAAUGUGAUCGAGAAUGGUAUUAUCUACAUGUGCACACCAGAGAGCAUACAAAUUAGGGUCUGCAUGGACGACCAAAACACAUGGCAUUUUUUAUCAACUAGACCAUCCUUUUUUCUUUGAUCUACUAACAUUGGUUGCCAUUUCGGGCUUUUGGGCCGACCUUCGGGCGAGAAAUUGAAGCCCAAGCCUACCCCAGAUGUCGGGCUUUGGGCUCAGGCCUCUGGGCCGGGUAGUCCAUGAACAGGUUUAGUUUGAUCUAUUCACUCACAUUUUGAUCCUCAUUCAUUAUAGCAUUUAACCAUAAUUCAUAUGAACAUGCACCACGAGAAUAUAAUAAAGGAAAUGCAUGGGCUAAUUUGUAGUACACAACGCCUUAUUGUGCGGUAUCACAAGAACAUUUUUCUCCUUGAUUACAAUAGUAACUACUAUGCAAUCUUAUAUAUCAAAUCAUAUAUUAUAUGACAAAUUAAGUAUAUUGUUUUGCUUAUUUCAGUAUUACCUUCAUAAGGAAUAUAGUCACAAGUUUUGCUCCAAACGCAACGUUAUUGAGUUCAUACGAAAUGGAACUGUGAAAGGGAAGUCGGUUCAGAAGGUGCCUAAAUACUUGACUUUCAAACAUAUAGUAAUUAUGCGAAGAUGUAUAUGUUUUUUGUAUUAACUUUAAAGUAUUAAUUUGACACGGUAUCCUAUUUUUGCACAGAGAUCAUCUGAUACUUCUAUGAACAAUCUUCAGGGUAUGUCCAGUUGGCCCCAUGCAUUUGGAUAUUAUUUUGUAUACUAUUAUUACUAUACAGAGAUAUCUAACUGAAACUGAAAUAUAAUAAAUAUUCAUGGAGAGAAAAAUAGACAUUAAUGUCCACAUACACAACAAAAUUAACCAGUACUGUCCUAGUUUACAUGAAUUAAUAUUUUCAAUGACAAUUAGGUUACUCAUGACAUGAUAAAGAAAAAAAAUGUGAGGUAAGAUAAGGUUUUCUAUAAUUUUUCAUGGGGACCUCCUCAUGGUUGCAGAUACAUAGUUUUACAGUGCUUCAUGAAAUAGUUGCAUAUCAUCAUGUCUAAAAGAAUCAUGACGGACACAACUUCAAGAAAUUCUUCUUGUAAAAUAACAUGAUUUGUAUAUACCUCAUAAAGGAUGUAACUUGUUGGUAGCAUUUAAUAUUGUGACACACUCGCCAUCUUUUGUGCCAGCAUUAUUUGGGUGAUGAUUUAAUAUCCAAAAGCAUACAUCAAGGUAGUUAUGUGCAAUGAUAUUCUUGUGAAAAUAACUUCCAUAGUGUAUACUUGCAUAUAUGUAUUGCUCUAUUGUAUUCUCACAGUUAAUCCUUUUUCUUAAUUUUUUGUUUGUUUAUUUAUGUUUAGAGCAAGAUUAUAAAUUAAGCUGAGCAUAAUUUCUGCAGAUUAUAGAUGGCCCACUGAAAGACAAAGGGCGAAGGCGCAAACUUCAAAUAAUUCUUCUUGCCACAUAGGUUUUUCUAAUUGUGCGAGCAUACCACUUGUAACUGCCUUCAGUCAUCUAUGUCAGUAGUAUUUUGAGAAGAAUUUCAUUACAAAAUGCAAUGACUCAAACAAUCAGAUUGUUCAUGAUGAUUCCUAAUUGUAUAACCAAUAAGCUUAACGCACCUUCCUAUUUUAGAGUUGUUAUGUUAAUAAGUAUAUACUAUCUGUUAUUAAUGUUGUUAAUGGGUGAAGAACAUUUGUUGCUCAUGGUUAGAAUGUAGAAUUUUCUUAAUACAACAACCUAGAGCGAAUGUGGAGGCCAAUAUAGAUUGAAACCAUUAAUUCAUAUUAAAAUGGUCAUGACUUCUUAUUUUUAUUUGACAUAAAUGUUUGUGACUUGUUUGAAUUAAUGUGUUCUGCAAUUAUAUGAUACUUGCGUAUUCAUACUAUUUUUAUGAAUUGUGCAGCUAGUUUGUCGACAGGAGCACGAACAACCACAACUUCUACAAAGCUUCCACAUGGUUUCAUCUAGUAUCAUGCAAAAGACAUUGAGACAAUCAAGAUUACUUGAGCAACCUGAAUUAUGUUAGUUGUUACCUGCUUUCAAACGAAUGUGUCCUCUCAUAGUAUGCAUGUACUUCUGUUGUUGAGGAAUUUAUAUCAUUAGACAGUUCUGUUUUUCAUAAUUAUUGAUUAAUGGGUACAUACCUUCAAUCCUGGAAGAUUAUCAGAUAGCCAGUCAAGGAAGCAAUUUAUUUAUUGAAUUGUGCAUAAUAGGAACAUUUUUACAUUCAAAGGAACAUCAUAGGAAUAAUUUGGUAUUUCGAGAAGAUUUUCCAGUCCCCUGCCCCAACCUACUGGAGACAGUAUGAGUGGUGACAGACACAUUUGUAACAUACGAGCAAGCUAGUGCAGCAGCUUCAGUCACAUGCUCUGGAAGCCCAUUUUGGGUCUUCCUUCAGAAGGCUCAACAAGGCCAUCAUCACACCAUUCUAGUUAGUUACUUCUGCAACGAUAUAUGUCCUUAAGAAAAUAAGAAGCUAGGGUUCUAGUAGACUUAUAAUGCUCUAGCAGCACCACGUUGGAUAUGCUCGCACAAAUAAAAUAACAUGAAUCGAGUCUAUAUGUAAGCACAUAUCUUGUCACCAGUCAACUACUAGUACAGUAAGAGCAUCAAAGAGGAAUUCAUUUCAUAUAGAAUAGUCGCAAUCAUAUACUUCUGUUCUGCACAUACUGCUCAUUAUCAUGGACAAUGAUGUAGCUAGAUAAAAGGGAGCAUGUGGCAAUAAUGUAAGCAGGGAGGCUCCAGGGAAGAGCUCAACAGACAGAACUAACCUGCUCUUGCAAGGAACCAGUAAGCCUUGCUACAUUGUCACCUUCAUGCUGCAUGGCAUCGUGUCCACCAGCUAUUGUGGUAUGUCGCAAAUCUUUCCUCUCAUCUUUUCACCGAAAGCGAUCGUUGGCGAAUUCUAAUCUUUCUGGAACAACAUUCCUAAUUCCCUGCACUAGAAGGUCAUCAUGAUGCAUCGGUACAUCGGAAUUCCGGCCACAUUAACAAAAUCUUUGCCCAAACCAAAUUAAGGUAGAAAUGAGAAAUGAAGGAGAGCACCAAAUAGUAAGUUAGGUUACACACAUAUAUAUAGAAAUGCCGUUCAUAGUAAAAACAACAGGAAGUGUAUCCAUGUUGUUUGCUUAGGUGGCUGAAACCAAGGUCCUAUUCACUGGGAUGAUAAACCUACUAAAUAAAAGGGUUCUCAAAGUCCCCUCAGAACUAGAGUCGAGUAACACAGUCAUGAUCCCAUGGGGUUUCAGGAUAACGACAUGCAAAUGUGGUUAACACAAUCAGCUCUCUCAUUAAGAUUUGUCUUAUUUUUUAUCACUACAGGAAAAUUCAUGUUUGCCGAGUGUCAGUGUCUUUGCUGAGUGCAUUUUGUUGGGCACUCAGCAAACAUAUCUUUGCCGAGUGUAAUCCUGAAACACGGUAAACAGGUGCUUUGCCGACUGUCGUGGAAAAAACACUGGCAAAAAAGUUAUAGUUGCUAAAAUGUGCUUUGUUGAGUGUCUUGGAAAUAACUCUCAGCAAAAUAGUGGAACUCAGGCAAAGAUGUGCUUUCUCGAGUGCUACACUCGGCAAAAGGGGGUAUGCACUGCGCUCACUGUUUUGGCCGUCGAGAUUGCAUACAACCUCGGAUGAAGAUGAUCCAAAAAUCAAAGUUUUACAUUUCGACGUGAUGAAUAAUUUUCAUGUUGAGGACCUUUUCCUUUUAGACCAUAUUAUUUACACUUAUUGCCAUGCCAAAGUAUGGUCUCAAAUGAAUAAGGCGGUGGUCAUAUUUAUUGCAAUUUACGACUAUGGGCCUAACCUUGGCAUUUAUGUGCAUCUGGCCAUUACAAACAAUGUUGCCAAAUAGAGUUUCCAACAUUUCGUACAAAGAUAAUUUUUCUAUUUUUGAAGUGUAAAAAAUUGAUACUUUUGUGAAGCUGGUACAAAAAUCGAGUGCAAAAUGGCAUCACUCCAAUUUUCACAAAAAUAGACCAUAUUUUUUGGAAAAUUCCCAUUUUUUGUGGAUUUUCUAGAUUUCUAGCUACUUUCACACAUUUAAAUGACUUUAUUAUGAUUCCGCAAAAUUAAUUCAAUUUGAACUGUAAUUGUGUGAUAGCUCUAUCCUACAAAUUUGCAAAAAUAUACUUUUAGGUACACAAGUAGUCAUUACAUGGAAACCCCACUUAGAGUUUGAGAGAUUCAACCCCUUGACAUGAAUAGACAUGCCGGCCACUUUCACCCCGUUUUGGAAAAAAUGAAACAAGAAGGAUACAAGUUCAAAAAAUGCAAUCCUUUCAUAUGGACUCCUUUUAUGUGUACUAGUGUAGAUGAAAAUACCAAACUUUCAAUAUGACAGUUUUGAAAGAAAAAUAUCCUGCACAAAUGGGCUAUCCUCUAUGAACAUUCAUGGCUUUCAAGUCAAAUGACCAAGGUGAUGACCAUAUUCAUUGCAUAGUUUAUUAUAAUGUGCCCAAAUUAGACAUAUAGGUGAACCUUGCCAUUACAAAUAAUGUUGCAAAAUAGGGUUGAAGGAAAUAUGCCCUAGAGGCAAUAAUAAAGUUAUUAUUUAUUUCCUUAUUUCAUGAUAAAUGUUUAUUAUUCAUGCUAGAAUUGUAUUAACCGGCAACAUAAUACAUGUGUGAAUACAUAGACAAACAUAGUGUCACUAGUAUGCCUCUACUUGACUAGCUCGUGAAUCAAAUAUGGUUAAGUUUCCUAGCCAUGGACAAAAGAGUUGUCAUUUGAUUAACGGGAUCACAUCAUUAGGAGAAUGAUGUGAUUGACUUGACCCAUUCCGUUAGCUUAGCACUUGAUCGUUUAGUAUGUUGCUAUUGCUUUCUUCAUGACUUAUACAAAGUUCCUACAACUAUGAGAUUGUGCAACUCCCGCUUACCGGAGGAACACUUUGUGUGCUACCAAACGUCACAACGUAACUGGGUGAUUAUAAAGGUGCUCUACAGGUGUCUCCAAAGGUACAUGUUGAGUUGGCAUAAUUCGAGAUUAGGUUUUGUCACUCCGAUUGUCGGAGAGGUAUCUCUGGGCCCUCUCGGUAAUACACAUUACUUAAGCCUUGCAAGCAUUGCAACUAAUGAGUUAGUUGUGGGAUGAUGUAUUACGGAACGAGUAAAGAGACUUGCCGGCAACGAGAUUGAACUAGGUAAUCGAUACCGACGAUCGAAUCUCGGGCAAGUAACAUACCGAUGACAAAGGGAACAACGUAUGUUGUUAUGCGGUUUGACCGAUAAAGAUCUUCGUAGAAUAUGUAGGAACCAAUAUGAACAUCCAGGUUCCGCUAUUGGUUAUUGACCGAGAAUAGUUCUAUGUCAUGUCUACAUAGUUCUCGAACCCGUAGGGUCCGCACGCUUAACGUUACAAUGACAGUUUUAUUAUGAGUUUAUAAGUUUUGAUGUACCGAAGGUUGUUCGGAGUACCAGAGGAGUCUCGAAAUGGUCGAGACACAAAGAUUGAUAUAUUGUACGGAUAUAUUUGGACACCGGAAAGGUUCCGGAUGAGAUUGGGACUAUACCGGAGUUUCGGGAGGUUACCGGAACCCCCCGGUAAGUAUAUGGGCCUUAUUGGGCCUUAGUGGAAGGGAGGGAGAAGGAUCAAAGGAGGGGGUGCCCCCCCCCAAGCCCAAUCCGAAUUGGGAGGGGGGCCGGCCCCCCCUUUCCUUCUUCCCUCCCCUCUCUUCCUUCCCUCUCCUACUCCUAAUAGGAAAGGGGGGCCAAACCUACUUGGAGUAGGUUUGCCCCCCUAGGGCGCGCCUCCCCUCUUGGUCGGCCCCCUCCUCCUCUCCCCCUUUAUAUACGGAGGAGGGGGCACCCCAUAGACACACAAGUUGAUCUACGGAUCAUUCCUUAGCCGUGUGCGGUGCCCCCCUCCACCAUAUUCCACCUCAGUCAUAUCGUCGCAGAGUUUAGGCGAAGCCCUGCGCCGGUAGAACAUCAUCAUCGUCACUACACCGUCGUGCUGACGGAACUCAUCCCCGACGCUUUGCUGGAUUGGAGCCGGGGAACAUCAUCGAGCUGAACGUGUGCUGAACACGGAGGUACCGUACGUUCGGUGCUUGAAUCGGUCGAGUCGUGAAGACGUACGACUACAUCAACCGCGUUCUGAUAACGCUUCUGCUUACGGUCUACGAGGGUACGUGGACAAUACUCUCCUCUCUCGUUGCUAUGCCAUCACCAUGAUCUUGCAUGUGCGUAGGACAUUUUUUGAAAUUACUACGUUACUCAACAGUGGCAUCCGAGCCUAGGUUUUAUGCGUUAAUGUUAUAUGCACGAUUAGAACACAAGUGAGUUGUGGGCGAUACAAGUCAUACUGCUUACCAGCAUGUCAUACUUUGGUUCGGCGGUAUUGUUGGAUGAAGCGGCCCAGACCGACAUUACGCGUACACUUACGCGAGACUGGUUUUACCGCCGUGCUUUGCACACAGGUGACUAGCGGGUGUCAGUUUCUCCAACUUUAGUUGAACCGAGUGUGGCUGCGCCCGGUCCUUGUGAAGGUUAAAACAGCACCAACUUGACAAACUAUCGUUGUGGUUUUGAUGCGUAGGUAAGAACGAUUCUUGCUCAGCCCGUAGCAGCCACGUAAAACUUGCAACAACAAAGUAGAGGACGUCUAACUUGUUUUUGCAGGGCAUGUUGUGAUGUGAUAUGGCCAAGACGUGAUGCUAUAUUUUAUUGUAUGAAGUGAUCAUGUUUUGUAACCGAAGUUAUCGGCAACUGGCAGGAGCCAUAUGGUUGUCGCUUUAUUGUAUGAAAUGCAAACGCCCUGUAAUUGCUUUACUUUAUCACUAAGUGGUAGCGAUAGUCGUAGAAGCAAUAGAUGGCGUAAACGACAAUGAUGCUACGAUGGAGAUCAAGGUGUCGCGCCGGUGACGAUGGUGAUCACGAUGGUGCUUCGGAGAUGGAGAUCACAAGCACAAGAUAAUGAUGGCCAUAUCAUAUCACUUAUAUUGAUUGCAUGUGAUGUUUAUCCUUUAUGCAUCUUAUCUUGCUUUGAUUGACGGUAGCAUUUUAAGAUGAUCACUCACUAAAAAUUAUCAAGAAGUGUUCUCCCUGAGUAUGCACCGUUGCCAAAGUUCGUCGUGCCCAGACACCACGUGAUGAUCGGGUGUGAUAAGCUCUACGUCCAUCUACAAUGGGUGCAAGCCAGUUUUGCACACGCGGAAUACUCAGGUUAAACUUGACGAGCCUAGCAUAUGCAGAUUGGCCUCGGAACACGGAGACCGAAAGGUCGAGCGUGAAUCAUAUAGUAGAUAUGAUCAACAUAAUGAUGUUCACCAUUGAAAGCUACUCCAUUUCACGUGAUAAUCGGUUAUGGUUUAGUUGAUUUGGAUCACGUGAUCACUUAGAGGAUUAGAGGGAUGUCUUUCUAAGUGGGAGUUCUUAAGUAAUAUGAUUAAUUGAACUUAAAUUUAUCAUGAACUUAGUCCUGGUAGUAUUUUGCAAAUUAUGUUGUAGAUCAAUAGCUUGCGUUGUUGCUUUCAUAUGUUUAUUUUGAUAUGUUCCUAGAGAAAAUUGUAUUGAAAGAUGUUAGUAGCAAUGAUGCGGAUUGGAUCCGUUAUCUGAGGUUUAUCCUCAUUGCUGCACAGAAGAAUUAUGUCCUUAAUGCACUGCUAGGUGACAGACCUAUUGCAGGAGCAGAUGCAGACGUUAUGAACGUUUGGCUAGCUCAAUAUGAUGACUACUUGAUAGUUUAGUGCACCAUGCUUAACGGCUUAGAAUCGGGACUUCAAAGACAUUUUGAAUGUCAUGGACCAUAUGAGAUGUUCCAGGAGUUGAAGUUAAUAUUUCAAGCAAAUACCCGAGUUGAGAGAUAUGAAGUCUCCAACAAGUUCUAUAGCUAAAAGAUGGAGGAGAAUCGCUCAACUAGUGAGCAUGUGCUCAGAUUGUCUGGGUACUAGAAUCGCUUGAAUCAAGUGGGAGUUAAUCUUCCAGAUAAGAUAGUGAUUGACAGAAUACUCUAGUCACCAUCACCAAAUUAGUAGAACUUCGUGAUGAACUAUAGUAUGCAAGGGAUGACGAAAACGAUUCCCAAGCUCUUCGUGAUGCUGAAAUCGAUGAAGAUAAAAAUCAAGAAAAGCAUCAAGUGUUGAUGGUUGACAAGACCACUAGUUUCAAGAAAAGGGCAAAGGGAAGAAGUGGAACUUCAAGAAGAACGGCAAGCAAGUUUCUGCUCAAGUGAAGAAGCCCAAGUCUGGUCCUAAGCCUAAGACUAAGUGCUUCUACUGCAAAGGGACUAGUCACUGGAAGUGGAACUGCCCCAAGUAUUUGGCGGAUAAGAAGGAUGGCAAAAGUGAACAAAGGUAUAUUGGAUAUACAUGUUAUUGAUGUGUACUUUACUAGUGUUUAUAGCAACCCCUCGGCAUUUUGAUAUUGGUUCAGUUGCUAAGAGUAGUAACUCGAAACAGGAGUUGCAGAAUAAACAGUAAAUAGUAAAAAGGCGAGGUGACGAUGUGUGUUGGAAGUAGUUCCAAGAUUGAUAUGAUCAUCAUCGCACACUCCCUAUACUUUCGGGAUUAGUGUUGAAACUAAAUAAGUGUUAUUUGGUGUUUGCGUUGAGCAUGAAUAUGAUUUGAUCAUGUUUAUUGCAAUACGGUUAUUCAUUUAAGUAAGAGAAUAAAUUGUUGUUCUGUUUACAUGAAUAAAACCUUAUAUGGUUACCCACCCAAUGAAAAUGGUUCGUUGGAUCUCGAUCAUAGUGACACACAUAUUCAUAAUAUUGAAACCAAAAGAUGCAAAGUUAAUAAUGAUAGUGCAACUUAUUUGUGGCACUGCAGUUUAGGUCAUAUUGGUGUAAAGCGCAUGAAGAAACUCCAUGCUGAUGGGAUUUUGGAAUCACUUGAUUAUGAAUCACUUGAUGCUUGCGAACCAUGCCUUAUGGGCAAGAUGACUAAAGACUCCGUUCUCCGGAACAAUAGAGCGAGCAACUGACUUAUUGGAAAUAAUACAUACGGAUGUAUGCAAUCCGAUGAGUGUUGAGGCUCGCGGCAAGUAUCAUUAUUUUCUGACCUUCACAGAUGAUUUGAGCAGAUAUGGGUAUAUCUACUUAAUGAAACAUAAGUCUGAAACGUUUGAAAAGUUCAAAGAAUUUCAGAGUGAAGUUGAAAAUUAUCGUAACAAGAAAAUAAAAUUUCUACGAUCUGAUAGUGGAGGAGAAUGUUUGAGUUACGAGUUUGGUCUACAUUUGAAACAAUGCGGAAUAGUUUCGCAACUCACGCCACCCGGAACACCACAGCGUAAUGGUGUGUUCGAACGUCAUAACCGUACUUUAUUGGAUAUUGUACAAUCUAUGAUGUUUCUUACCGAUUUACCACUAUCCUUUUUGGGGUCAUGCAUUAAAGAUAGCUGGAUUCACGUUAAAAAAGGGGCACCACCUAAGUCCAUUGAGACGACACAAUAUGAACUGUGGUUUGGCAAGAAACCAAAGUUGUCGUUUCUUAAAGUUUGGGAUUGCGAUGCUUAUGUGAAAAAGUUUCAUCCUGAUAAACUCAAACCCAAAUCGGAGAAAUGUGUCUUCAUAGGAUACCCAAAGGAGAAAGUUGGGUACACCUUCUAUCACAAAUCCGAAGGCAAGACAUUCGUUGCUAAGAAUGGAUCCUUUCUAGAGAAAGAGUUUCUCUCCAAAGAAGUGAGUGGGAGGAAAGUAGAACUUGAUAAGGUAAUUGUACCUUCUCCCUUAUUGGAAAGUAGUUCAUCACAGAGAUCUGUUCCUGUGACUACUACACCAAUUAGUGAGGAAGCUAAUGAUGAUGUUCAUGUAACUUCAGAUCAAGUUACUACCGAAUCUCGUAGGUAAACCAGAGUAAGAUCCGCACCAGAGUGGUACGGCAAUCCUGUUCUGGAAGUCAUGCUACUAGAUCAUGAUGAACCUACAAACUAUGAAGAAGCGAUGGUGAGCCCAGAUUCCGCAAAAUGGCUUGAGGCCAUGAGAUCUGAGAUAAGAUCCAUGUAUGAAAACAAAGUAUGGACUUUGAUUGACUUGCCCAAUGAUCGGCGAGACAUUGAGAUUAAAUGGAUCUUCAAGAGGAAGACGGACGCUGAUAGUGUUACUAUCUACAAAGCUAGAAUUGUCGCAAAAGGUUUUCGACAAGUUCAAGGUGUUGACUACGAUGCGAGUUUUUCACUCGUAUCUAUGCUUAAGUCUGUCUGAGUCAUGUUAGCAAUUGCCAAAUUUUACGAAAUCUGGCAAAUGGAUGUCAAAACUGCAUUCCUUAAUGGAUUUUUUAAAGAAGAGUUGUAUAUGAUGCAACCAGAAGGUUUUGUCGAUCCGAAAGGUGCUAACAAAAUGUGCAAGCUCCAGCGAUCCAUCAAUGGACUGGUGCAAGCAUCUCGGAGUUGGAAUAUACGCUUUGAUAAGUUGAUCAAAGCAUAUAGUUUUAAUACAGACUUGCGGUGAAGCCUGUAUUUACAAGAAAGUGAGUGGGAGCACUACAGCAUUUCUGAUAAGUAUAUGUGAAUGACAUAUUGUUGAUCGGAAAUAAUGUAGAAUUUUUCUGGAAAGCAUAAAGGAGUAUUUGAAAGGAGUUUUUCAAAGAAAGACCUUGGUGAAGCUGCUUACACAUUGAGCAUCAAGAUCUAUAGAGAUAGAUCAAGACGCUUGAUAAGAUUUUUCAAUGAGUACAUACCUUGACAAGAUUUUGAAGUAAUUCAAAAUGGAACAGUCAAAGAAAGAGUUCUUGCCUAUGUUGCAAGGUGUGAAGUUGAGUAAGACUCAAAACCCGACCAUGGCAGAAAAUAGAAAAGAAUGAACAGUCAUUCCCUAUGCCUCAGUCAUAGGUUCUAUAAAGUAUGCUAUGCUGUGUACUAGACCUAUUGUAUACCUUCCUCUGAGUUUGCCAAAGGAAUACAAUUUUGAUCUAAAAGUAGAUCACUAGAACAGCGGUCAAGAAUAUCCUUAGUGAGGACUAAGGAAAUGUUUCUCGAUUAUGGAGGUGAUAAAAGAGCCAGUCAUAAAAAGUUACAACGAUGCAAGCUUUUACACCAAUCCAGAUGACUCUAAGUCUCAAUCUGGAUACAUAUUGAAAGUGGGAGCAAUUAGCUAGAGUAGCUCUGUGCAGAGCAUUGUGGACAUAGAAUAUUUGCAAAAUACAUACGGCUCUGAAUGUGACAGACCCGUUGACUAAACUUCUCUCAUGAACAAAACAUGAUCAUACCUUAGUACUCUUUGGGUCUUAAUCACAUAGCCAUGUGAACUAGAUUAUUGACUCUAGUAAACCCUUUGGGCGUUGGUCACAUGACGAUGUGAACUAUGGGUAUUAAUCACAUACAUAUGUGAAUAUUGGUGUCAAAUCACAUGGUGAUGUGAACUAGAUUAUUGACUCUAGUGCAAGUGGGAGACUGAAGGAAAUAUGCCCUAGAGGCAAUAAUAAAGUUAUUAUUUAUUUCCUUAUUUCAUGAUAAAUGUUUAUUAUUCAUGCUAGAAUUGUAUUAACCGGAAACAUAAUACAUGUGUGAAUACAUAGACAAACAUAGUGUCACUAGUAUGCCUCUACUUGACUAGCUCGUGAAUCAAAGAUGGUUAAGUUUCCUAGCCAUGGACAAAAGAGUUGUCAUUUUAUUAACGGGAUCACAUCAUUAGGAGAAUGAUGUGAUUGACUUGACCCAUUCCGUUAGCUUAGCACUUGAUCGUUUAGUAUGUUGCUAUUGCUUUCUUCAUGACUUAUACAAAGUUCCUACAACUAUGAGAUUGUGCAACUUCCGUUUACCGAGGAACACUUUGUGUGCUACCAAACGUCACAACGUAACUGGGUGAUUAUAAAGGUGCUCUACAGGUGUCUCCAAAGGUACAUGUUGAGUUGGCAUAAUUCGAGAUUAGGUUUUGUCACUCCGAUUGUCGGAGAGGUAUCUCUGGGCCCUCUCGGUAAUACACAUCACUUAAGCCUUGCAAGCAUUGCAACUAAAGAGUUAGUUGUGGGAUGAUGUAUUACGGAACGAGUAAAGAGACUUGCCGGCAACGAGAUUGAACUAGGUAUUGGAUACCGACGAUCGAAUCUCGGGCAAGUAACAUACCGAUGACAAAGGGAACAACGUAUGUUGUUAUGCGGUUUGACCGAUAAAGAUCUUCGUAGAAUAUGUAGGAACCAAUAUGAACAUCCAGGUUCCGCUAUUGGUUAUUGACCGAGAAUAAUUUUAGGUCAUGUCUACAUAGUUCUCGAACCCGUAGGGUCCGCACGCUUAACGUUACGAUGACAGUUUUAUUAUGAGUUUAUAAGUUUUGAUGUACCGAAGGUUGUUCGGAGUACCAGAUGUGAUCACGGACAUGACGAGGAGUCUCGAAAUGGUCGAGACAUAAAGAUUGAUAUAUUGGACAGAUAUAUUUGGACACCGGAAAGGUUCCGGAUGAGAUUGGGACUAUACCGGAGUUCCGGGAGGUUACCGGAACCCCCCGGUAAGUAUAUGGGCCUUAUUGGGCCUUAGUGGAAGGGAGGGAGAAGGAGCAAAGGAGGGGGCGCCCCCCCCCCCCAAGCCCAAUCCGAAUUGGGAGGGGGGCUGGCCCCCCCUUUCCUUCUUCCCUCCCCUCUCUUCCUUCCCUCUCCUACUCCUAAUAGGAAAGGGGGGCCAAACCUACUUGGAGUAGGUUUUCCCCCCUAGGGCGCGCCUCCCCUCUUGGCCGCCCCCCUCCUCCUCUCCCCCUUUAUAUACGGAGGAGGGGGGCACGCCAUAGACACACAAGUUGAUCUACGGAUCGUUCCUUAGCCGUGUGCGGUGCCCCCCUCCACCAUAUUCCACCUCGGUCAUAUCGUCGCAGAGUUUAGGCGAAGCCCUGCGCCGGUAGAACAUCAUCAUCGUCACCACGCCGUCGUGCUGACGGAACUCAUCCCCGACGCUUUGCUGGAUUGGAGCCUGGGGAACGUCAUUGAGCUGAACGUGUGCUGAACACGGAGGUGCCGUACGUUCGGUGCUUGGAUCGGUCGAGUCGUGAAGACGUACGACUACAUCAACCGCGUUGUGAUAACGCUUCCGCUUACGGUCUACGAGGGUACGUGGACAAUACUCUCCUCUCUCGUUGCUAUGCCAUCACCAUGAUCUUGCAUGUGCGUAGGAAAUUUUUUGAAAUUACUACGUUACCCAACAAGGGUUUCCAACUUUUUUUGUAAAAAAACCAUUUUCUAUUUUCUAAAUGUAAAAAAGGGUGCUUUGUGUGAAGCAUGUACCAAAAACAGGGUACAAAAUGGCACCACUCCAAUUUUCACAAAAAUUAGACCGUAUUUUAUGGACAAUUCCCAAAAUCUGUAGAUUUAUCUCUAAAAAAUUAACAAUUGGUGUAUUUUUUUAAUAUUUAAUAAAAAUAAUAUAUAUUUUUAAUGGGAAAGGCAGAUAUUAAAAGGAUACCAUGGACAUCUGAGGGUGUACGUUGAAGCGUUGGAGGUGCCUUUACGUGCCAGUUUACGACGUGCUCAACCGGGAAUGUGGUAGUAUUAAUCAGUAUAUACUUUUAAAAAUCAAUAUAUAAUUUGUUUGGAUUAUUUUAGUUUGCAGGGCAAACUUAAAAUGGAUUUAUUUAGCCUAUUUUUGUGAAAUCACUAAUUAGGAGGUACCUUUUGCAAAGGUCACACCCCACUUUCAUUAGUGCUGACAGGUGGCACAUGGCAUGUGUGUCCCUUGUCGCAACAUGGGAGUUUGCCCUUUUUGUAGAUUCAUUUUUUUUAAUCUUUUAUCUCUUGAACCGCGCAUUCAAAUCACGACCCAUUUUUAUCGUUGGAUUUCUCACGCCGAGAUCUUUGAAACUAGUCACAUGUUAAUAAGUUCCGAUGAACUUUUUCUUCACGAAAAUCAAACAAAAAAAUAUGAAAACAAAAAAUACAGAAAGCAAAAAAAGAAAAAAAAAACUAAAAUCACGGUUGUGCUUUUUUACAUUUUUGGGAAGAAAAAUUGUGCUUUCCCCUUUUUGGGAAACACGGUUUUGCUUCUUGUGAAAGCAUAGGUUGUGCUUUUCCCUUUUCAAGAAGCAUAGGCCAUGCUUCUCUUGUUCUCCGGGAAGCACAUAUGUGCCUUUCCUUUCGGGGAGCACAGUUUUCUCUUUCGGAAAAGCAUAGAUGUGUUUUUCCCUUUUCAGAGAAGCACUACCUAUGCAUCUCACCGAAGAACAUGCUGUGCUUUUCCUUUUUUGAGGAAGUAUAGUUGUGCUUUCCCUUUUUUACAGGGUAGCAAAAAUUGUGCUUUCUUCCUUCUCGGGAAGCUAUGCUUCCCGCGGAAAAGCACCGCCUCAUGAAAAAACAUAAAAAUGAUUUUUUUUUCAUCAAAACCUAGGGAAAACCAAGAAAAAAAGAAAACAUGUGUAAAAAAAUCUAAGGGUGAACCCAGUGCACGACACGUGGCGGCAAUUGGACGCAUCACUUGAUGCGCUCUCAGGUCCUAAAAGUAGCCUAUGUGGAAUCCCCCGAUGAGAUACCCGUUAGAUAGUUGGAGACCUCCUUGCAUCAAAUAGGAGGGUGGCCACAAAGGGGGCGCAUCCUGGUGGGCCGGCCCAGCAGCGUGCUACACUCUAGCGCAAAUUGGUCAAAAUCUAAAAAGUGAUGUGUGAUCAAAGCGCGCAUGGCUAGCCACUCAAGCUAAUGAAACUCUGCUAACUACUAGGCCGUGUUGAACUUUAAAAAGUACUAUAUGAUACCCCGCGCGUUGUUGCGGGAACUCUUAGUACUUUACAUGAAGAAGCUUGUGGAGUGAAAAUAAUUAAAUGAUGAAAAUAUACACUUUUUAAAACCUUUGGUGGUACUUGUAGGAACAUUAUGGAGUGAAAAUAAGUUAACAAUUAAUAUAUUUUUGAACGUUUGAUGGUAUUUUGAGAAUCAUGAGAGAAAUGGUAUAUUAGGGUAUCUCUGUAUUUAUGUAGUUAGAACGCGCCACCCUUUAGCGGGGAAUUAAAUGCAUCGCUAACAUUAAAAAAUAGAGCAUAUAGUUUGAUGGGAAUUUCACUGAAAACAUGGCCAGCCAAGUCUAAAGCUGAAUAUUACACUGAACAGAGAGCCCAAUCAUUGCCUAACACAAAAGCACUAAUGCUUGUUGAGUUAUUUGUAAUAUAGGAGCAGAAUCCCUUCGAAAGAGAAAUUCCAAAAUAUUAAAAAGAUCCAACAGUAAGACAUCCAUACACCUUACAGUUUAUACAUGGAGACAAGCUACAUACCAAUCGCUAAAAAAGGUGAAUAUAGAGUCAUGCACAUCAGGCCCUCAUGGCAUAGAUGCAUUUCUUCCACUAAAAGGACAUGCCUUAAGGGGAUUAGUGUAGGUGUGAAGAUCUGGACAUAUAAAUGGCAGGAAUGACUUCAUCUUCCUGCCCCUUCUGUGGAAACAAAAGCCCGACUUCAAUUGGGAUCCGUUUGACAUGUUGCUCCCUCUUCAUAAAAUGGAGCUGAUCGUUAUCUAAAAGCAAGCUAGGUAGAUUUGGCAUGGCCAGCAGUAGUACUUGCUACUUUGCCAGUUGUGAUGCAUCAUAUGAGAAGGCAAGGAAGGUUGCGUGCUGCCAUGGCCGGACCCUUUGGGGUGCCAAAUGGUGUUCAAAUUUAUAGUAGGUUCCAUUUUUGGUGGGAAUCCAAGAAAAAGAAGGCAAUGGAGUAAGAUGACAACCCAUUCCCAGACUGCCACUCAAAAUCAAAAUGAAGAGGGUAAAUAAAUGUACUUACUAAGAACACACGGAUAACAUACAGCUGGCUACAGAAACAGCCAAACUUUGUAAGUCCAUGGAAAUUGAGGAAAUUGUGAAAACUAUUUCUGUGAGUAGAAGGAAACGUAGUCCAGUUACCUUUCAUGGUAAUGCUUCUCUUGAGACGAUUCUUAGGAUCCCUGAAGAAUGUCUUCUGUUUUCCUGAAGCGGGAUUCCUUGCUAGAGCAGUACCUUUUGUUCUCUUGAGUUAAGGCAGAGUGGGAAAUACAUCACUAUCAGCUCUAGUUCAAUUGCUUGUAUUUUACAAAAACAUACAAUUGAAACAAUUAUCAGGAAAAGUUAUUACCUUAAUCGCAGCAACUCUUUGAGCAUGCAAUUUGGCGUCUUGGUGUAUAAUCUUCAUGUGUAAACAAUUUGUUUUAGCAUCUAGACUCUAUAAUUAAAAUUAAUAAGUUCUUUAAAACCCAAAGGCAACUAUAUAGACCAAUACAAUUAAACAAAGCCAGCGGGUAGGUUUCAAAUAUUAAGUAGCAGGGCUCCAUAGUUAACUCUCCAUCAUGCAGGCAUUUAGUGUAGUAGAUACAAGACAUACGUGUGACAGAUUGCAUAUGAACAACAUUUAUUAGUAGGAAAAUUGUACUACCGUAUAUUGCACUAACACUAACUAUAUGAAGAAGCCAAUAGCAUGUAAUUUCAGCUUGCAAGAAAGCGCCACUUACUCUUAUAGAUCGGCUAAUCUACAUGGCAACUUCUGGGGAUGGUGAUGGAUAAGUACAGUUGGAUCGUUUUUAGAUGUUAAUCUAUUAUUAUAAAAAUCAUCUUCCUUUACUUUCAAGGGAGAACUGUAGAGGGGAAAGAACAACAUUUUUUAAUCUAAUGAUCCAUCACUUAUUCACAACUAUUGCAAUAACCAAGUAUGUUGGAUGCAAGGACGAGGUGAGAGUGCAGGCAACAUGUAUGUCACAUCAUGCGAACAGGUGGGGAUCAUGUUAAGUCAAUGCAGAAGGAUGCGUUGUGUGUCCGCGCACCGUCAACACCGCCGAGUAAACAGUAAACUAAACCUGGGGACCAGUGCUCUUGACCUUCCCAGCUACUUCUGGCAUAGGGGGAAUAUUUGAGGAUUUAUAGUGCUGAGAUUAGGGUUAGGAGNNNNNNNNNNNNNNNNNNNNNNNNNNNNNNNNNNNNNNNNNNNNNNNNNNNNNNNNNNNNNNNNNNNNNNNNNNNNNNNNNNNNNNNNNNNNNNNNNNNNNNNNNNNNNNNNNNNNNNNNNNNNNNNNNNNNNNNNNNNNNNNNNNNNNNNNNNNNNNNNNNNNNNNNNNNNNNNNNNNNNNNNNNNNNNNNNNNNNNNNNNNNNNNNNNNNNNNNNNNNNNNNNNNNNNNCUCCUCCCGAAGCUUCCUAGGUUUCUUCUGGUCCAAGAAAAAUCAUCGUAAAGUUUUAUUCGUUUGGACUCCGUUUGAUAUUCCUUUUCUGUAAAACUCAAAAACAAGAGAAAAAAACAGAAACUGACACUGGGCUCUGGGUUAAUAAGUUGGUCCCAAAAAUAAAUAAAAUAACAUAUUAAUGCAUAUAAAUCAUCCAAAAUAGAUAAUAUAAUAGCAUUGAACAACCAAAAAUUAUAGAUACGUUGGAGACGUAUCAGGAUCAUGUUAAGUCGAUGCGAAAGGAUGCAUUGUGUGUUCGCACACUGGAUGCUUGCAUUUAUAUGGCUCUAUCAGCAUCGCCGAAUAAACUAAAUCUGGGGACCGGUGCUCUUGACCUUCCCAACUACUUCGACUGGAAAUCAGAUCCUCCAUGCCAAAUAAGAAAGACCGUUCAGGUCGUGCUGAUAGAGAGGAAAGAGACCACUCACCUCCGACAAUGGCACGUGUGGCUCGCCUGAAGGUCCUUGGGUUGAAUCCACGGUGUUGGGCUAGCGUAGCACCCAUUGGCGGCAAUCAUGGGGCUCCAAGAUGGCGUCACCGUGUAGAUGUCUGGUGUUGUUGGCCAUAGACGGUUUUGUCAAAGGCGACGCAUUAUGGAAAGAUGGAGAGAUAAAAGAGGGGAGGAGAAGAACCUGGAAGACAAUAGAUAUUUAUUGGUGAAGGGGAGAUGAACGGAAUCAUCGGGCGAAGAGGUGAUGGCUCGUGUCCGCAUUAGUAUUUUCCCCGAAGAGGAAGGGAUGAUGCAACACAGCUACGGUAGGUAUUUCCCUCAGUGAUGAGACCAAGGUUAUCGAACCAGUAGGAGAACCACGCAACACUAUGUAAAUGGUACCUGCACACAAAGAACAAAUACUUGCAACCCGACGCGUAAGAGGGUUGUCAAUCCCUCCCGGGUAAAAGAUAGAUUGGUUUCUAGUAGAUUGGAUAAAUAGAUCUCGCGGAAACGCAAAAUAAAAUAAAUAACAAAAAAUUGCAUCAAGGUAUUUUUGGGUUUUUAGAAUAAUAGAUAUCUAUACCUAUUAAUAAAAGAAAUAGGUAUUCUUCGUCCGUCAUGCUAUUUUGUAGAAAACCCCCUGAUGUUUCUGACAUUAAACCAGCAGUACAUAUCAAGUGCUUUUUAAAAUACUCAUAAUUUUAAACCAUAACUCCAAAUUUAACAUAUUAUAUAUGGAAUUUAAUUAGAAAAUUAUUUAGAAUCUAAAUAUGAUGUUAUUUUACCUGUUAACAAUUUUUAAAAUAAACUAUCUAGGCUGCAAUGUUAAUCAACAAUGCAUUAUCCGUCUUUUUUUCAUACCGGUAUUGAUUUAGAUUGGGGAUGAAAACCUCAGCAAAAUCAGGAUUGGACAUCAGAUUGAAGAUAAAUUUGUUAGAGACACCGAAUAAAUAAGGACAUGCAUGACAAGAAAUAAAAAGAUCCAAUAAAGAUGGGAUGUCCGCUAUAAAAAUAAAUAAAAGAGAAAAUGCAGAGGAGAUCCGAUAAAGAUGAGAUGUUGCGCUAUUCUCCUAUAUAUAAGAAGAGUAAAAGGAGGACAUGCAUGAAAAAAGGUAAAAAGGAGGCAUGCAUGAAAAAAAUACAAGUUUUAUAAGAAAUAAAUAGUGAUGAAACAGGGACCAAUACCUAUGACAUGUAUGGCAAGAAAUAGUGAUGAAAUAGGGGCACAAGUACCUGAGUCAACAGGAGACCAUAAAAAAUGUUGUUUUCCAGACCAAAAAAAACCUAUUUUAUGAUUAAAAAAUCUUGUACCUUUUUAACAACCUUUUUAACUCUUCAUGUAUUUAAGAAAUAGCUACAAAUUCUCGGAUUAUAAAACAUUUUUUGUAAAUUAAGAGUGUGUGGUACUUUUUUCCCGUUGCAACGCACGGGCCUUUUUGCUAGUGAAAAUAAAAGAGGCAAAUAAUAGAUCGGAAAGCAAAUAUGAUAAAGAAUAGACCCAGUGGCCGUAGAUUUCACUAGUGGCUUCUCUCCAGAAAAAUUGCAUACAGUGGGUAAACAAAUUACUGUUGGGUAAUUGAUAGAACUUCAAAUAAUUAUGACGAUAUCCGGGCAAUGAUCAUUAUAUAGGCAUCAUGUCCUAGAUUAGUAGACCUACUCCUUCCUGCAUCUACUACUAUUACUCCACACAUCGACUGCUAUCCAGCAUGCAUCUAGUGUAUUAAGUUCAUGGAAAAAUGGAGUAAUGCAAUAAGAAUGAUGACAUGAUGUAAACAAGAUCUAUUCAUGUAGGAAUAGACCCCAUCUUGUUAUCCUUAAUGCAACGAUCAAUAUGUGUCUUGCUGCCCCUUCUGUCACUGGGAAAGAACACCGCACGACCGAUCCCAUCACAAAGCACCUCUUCCCAUGGCAAGAAAAAUCGAUCUAGUCAACCUAACUAAACAAAAGAUUCGAAGAAGAAUACGAGGCUAUAAGUAAUCAUGUGUCUAAGAGAUCAAAACUCAAAUAACUUUCAUGUAUAAAAUAGAUCUGAUCAUAAACUCAAAGUUCAUCGGAUCCCAACAAACACACCGCAAAAAGUGUUACAUCAAAUAGAUCUCCAAGAGACCAUUGUAUUGAGAAUCAAAAGAGAGAGAGGAAGCCAUCUAGCUACUGCCUACGGACCCAUAGUUCUACAAUGAACUACUCACGCAUCAUCGGAGAGGCACCAAUGAGGAUGAUGAACCCCUCUGUGAUGGUGUCUAGAUUGGAUCUCAUGGUUCCGGAACUUGCGGCAGCUCGAAUUGUGUUUCGUCGACUCCCCUAGGGUUUUUGGAUUUUCGGGGUAUUUAUAGAGCAAAAAGGUUGUGCGGGAGGGCACCGAGGUGGGCACAACCCACCAGGGCACGCCUGGGCCCCCAGGCGUGCCCAGGUGGGUUGUGUCCCCUGGGGACACCCAUCUGGUACUUCUUUGGCCCAAGUUGUUCCUUCUGGUCUAGAAAAAUUCUCCAAAAAGUUUCGUUGCGUUUGGACUCCGUUUGGUAUUGAUUUUCUGCGAAGUAAAUAACAAGCAAAAAAUAACAACUGGCACUGGGCAAAUAGGUUAAUAAAAUGAUAUAAAGUUGCUAUAAAAUGAUUGUAAAAUAUCCAAGAAUGAUAAUAUAACAGCAUGGAACAAGCAAAAAUUAUAGAUAUGUUGGAGACGUAUCAAGAGGCAAUAAGAGGAAGGCGCAGCAAUCAGUUCGACGGUAGUAAAAAAUUACACGAUUCCUUUCGUUGAAAAGGGAAAAAGGAAGCAUUGGUGAUGUGGCAGAUUUUCUAACCUGGAUGGCAGCAUGUUGAUUGCUGAUGUGGAUAGGCUACAUGUCAAGAGAAAUACGGUACUGGGGAUGAACUAUUUAGGUAUUAUAUAUGCGCAACAUCACAUCUAAACUCUUUAUGAAAUUACAAAACACGAUGGUUUUUAAAAUGGAUAUAUUUUGGAACCCAAUUUUUUAAAAUUUAUGAAUAAAUUUUUGAAAACUUGAACAAUUUCUUGAGUCUAUGAACAAUUUUUUGAACACGAACUUUUUUUCAAAAUUUCAAAACGCAAUUAUUUUUUUAAUGUAACCUUUUUCAAAAUUCAAAAACAUGAUUGUUUGUAAAGUGAAUAUGUUUUUAAAAUUCUAGACUAAAUUUGCAAGUUGAAUAUGUUUUGAGAAACACUCGAAAUUGUGGACGUUUUCUAAAACGUCAAAGAACUUUGAAAAACAUCAAACAUUUUUCAAAGCACGGAUUCUGGGAAAAAAACAAAUUCCGAACAUCUUUUAGAAAUUUUGAAUUUAUGAAAAAAGAAAAAGAAGCAGAAAAUGAAAAAAGAAAGAAAGCAAGGAAAAGCAGUGAAGAAAUAAAACAGAAAAAGGGAAAAAACCUGAAAAUAGUGGUAAAGACUGAUCCUAGCUACUUGGGCUGGUCCAUCUAUGGUUUACUCGCUGCUCAUUUCGGAGAUUUCUUUUAGGGGUAAAACCAAGUUUUAUACAUCAAACACCAUAGAGUGUGGGAUAGAGUUUGGGUCAUGGCAUUUUCCAAAGCAAACAUUGCGUCCCAGACCUAACGAAAGAGAAAACCUGCCUAGAUUAUGUGCUUCGACAUUUACAGGAUGAUCUUUAGAUAAAAAAAUACAAUGAAAUAAAUACGGUUGCAACUUGAUCUCGUUGAUAAUGGCUCGUUUCCACAUAGUUUGCUCACAUUUUUGAGAGAAAAUUUAGCCUUGAUGGGCUGGGAAAUUGGGCCAGCCAUCCUCGAGUGUGACUGGCUUGUCUUUGUCUAGUAUAAAUCCCAUCACGUUGCCCAAGAGCCCACCCUUAUCUAUUUUUCUACAGGACCCAUAUAUGUUUGGUUCCUUCAGCACGAUGGGCCGCCUCCCAGCCUCCCUCGCCCGCUCGACAGCUCCCCCACCAAUAGAGUUAGGCCCUCGACCCUCCCCCACCCCAAGGUUGCGAGCAUGUCCCUUCCCGACAUCUCUUCCACACGGCCUCGUCCCACCCCAUGUUCUCCCCCAAGUGCUUUGUCGAGUGUCAUGGAAAAAUAUUCUUGGCAAGAUAGUGGAACUCACGCAAAAUGUGCUUUAUCGAGUGCUACACUCGGCAAAAGGGGGUAUGCAGGGAAGCAAAAUCAUGCUUUUUUCCUUCUCGGGAAGCUGCGCUUCCCGUGGAAGGCUUCAUCAAAAACCAGAAAAAAAGAUUUUUUUUUUCAUCAAAACCUAGGGAAAAUAAAAGAAAAAAAACACGUGUAAAAAAUAAAAUCUUAAGGGUGUACCUGCACACGACAUGUGGCCGCAGUUGGGCACAUCACUUGAUGCGCUCUCAGGGCCUCAAAGUAACCUCUGCAGGAACCCUCGACAAGAAACCCAUCAGACAGUUGGAGUCUCCCUUGCGUCAAAUAGGAGUGUGGCCACAAGGGGAGCGCGUCCUGGUCGGCCGGCCCAGUAGCCUGUAGCACUCUACCGCAAAUUUGUCAAAAUCUAAAACAUGACGUUUGAGCAAAGCUCGCAUGGCUAGCCAGUCAAGCUGAUGAAACUUUGCCAACUACUAUGUCGCGUUGAUCAGUAAAAAUUAUGUGCAACAUCACAUAUGAAAAAAAAUUGGAAUUUCAAAACACGGUUGUUUUUAAAAUGAACUAGUAAAGUGGCCCGCUCGAUGUGCGGGCUAGAUUUUUAAGUUUUUUUUAAUAAUAUCAUAUUGUUUGAUUUGGCUAAAGAAAAAUUGGAACCCAAUAUGACGACUUUAUUGUGCGGGCUCAAUCUUUGAAUUGUCUAUUAUGUUUUAUGAUUGAAUUUCUUAUCUGUAGUAAGUCAAUACAUAAUUAUGACGACUUUAUUGUGCGGGCUCAAUCAAUAUUAUUAUUUACUGUUAUUCUUCUUAUUUUUAUUGUUAAAAAAACAAUGUUAAAGUCAACCCAUUUGAAAAAAACUAAUUUAAUGUAAGUAUAGUAUCUAAAGUCCUAGUAUAGUAAUUUCAUUUCAAUUUAAUUUUAUUGUAUUCUUCCAUUUUGAAAAUGUAUUUUUAUUAUGAAUCUAGCACUUUAGUUAAAAUACAAAUAAAACUACUACAUUACUGAUCCCAAAAUUAAACAAAAAUGUGUACAUAAACUUGUCUUUAUCAUCGAUGAAUUACAACCAGAUCAUAUGUUUAAAUAAUGGAUAUUUAUAUUAUUAAUCAACCAAGCAUAGUUCUUUUGAUCUCGUAGAUUGUGAUUUUCCAAUAGUGUCUUGUCUUUUUGUUUAUGUGCAAAUAAUAGUUCACCUAUCAUAUUUUACGAGAAUGGGAAACAAAUAUAAGAAAUAGAACUGAAAGAAUUAUAUGGACGUCUAUUCUUGGAAAAUUGUUUAUGGUGUCACCAUCUCGUUCACGUGUGAGUAUGCAAUCUAAUUUCUAACAUGGCAUUCUUUCAUGCGUGAAGAAAUUUCAAGUUAUCACAACGCGACAUGAGUUCGAUAGAAUAUUAACUCAUUCGGAAAAAAAGAUAUGUACAUACAAAACUAAUGAAGUAACUUCAGUAAAAAUUAAUAUGUUACCCAAGAUUUUGAGGGACUGUGAUUUUGAAGGGGUAUUACAUUUUUGUAAUGUUAACUUGACACAUUGGUGAGAAACACAAUUCGAAUAGAAUACACUAAAGCUGAGAAAACAGAACUUUGUUGAACAAUAAUUAACCGGCUAAGAACUUACAAUGUAUCAUGCCUUUGCUGUUAACAACUAUAUGCAGCAGUAUUUUUUUUAUAUUUAUAAUUAUCACUCAAACUAACUUUUUAGAAAGCAUACUAAUUAGUUAGAUAUUCAGGGAUGCAUUGAUAACAGUAAUCGCUAUCGUCUAGCCUUGCCUCCUGUCUGAUGCACUACAAGCAAAGGAUUCAAAACUACGUUUUCCUGUAAUGUAAAACAAUAAUACUUCAUGGAGAUCAUGUUUGCAUGUGCAUAUGGAAUUUAUCAAUAGUAGGUAGAAAAGUCCUAGCUAGCUUAGCUUAGCUUAGGAUAACGCCCUGGCAUCUAAACUGCUUCAUAUAUGCAAUCCAAUUGUAUGGGUCAAAUAUACAAAACCUGAAGCUCAUGGUCUAGAUGUUUCAUUGAUAAUAUCAUUUCCACCAGACUGGCGACCGAUUAUACAGUAGUCUACCUGUAUUGUUUAACACUGAGAUACCGCAUCAGCCAAAUCAUAGCACCUGAGGUGCCUCUUCUAGUGGACGGUGAGAGCAUAUCUGUAAUAAUCAUCCUUUGUAUAACAUUAUUUAUACCUCCAAAUGUUGCACCACACAUGUUCAUCUUUAGAGUCAAGCCCUAUUGCAGCGCAGGUUGUGCUUGGCCAGCACCUUCGUGAUGAACUUGCCAGUGACCACAGUGCAAGCAACUACCAGUACCCAGGAAGCCUCGACGAAGCCAAUGACGUACUGCUCUAUUUCGCGCCGGUCCCAUGUGGCCCACUUGUUUCCCUGAGCAUGUCGGUAUCGACAAAGGAACGAUAGUCGCUAGAUUAAAGGGAAGUGAGAUGGAAAGACACACUCGAGGAGGAAGAUGUUUAGGACUAUGUAUUUGCAUACUCUUUUGGAUCAAGGACGUGGGAUGUAAGUACGGUGUUUGCCUUUUUUUCUUUCUCUUUUUAGCUUUGAAGGGAUGUGUACAUGUUUUUUUUUAUGUCUACAUGCUUGAUUUUUUUUCCUCUGGAGGGAUAUGUACUUGUUUGUAUUUUUAAAAGGUUGGGGGAUCAUUCAUUUUGUACGCACUUGUUUUUUUUUCAAAUGUAUGUACGUGCCUGAUGGAUAUGUGUGGGGACGUUCUUUUUUAUAUAUGUGGGAUAUGUACGUGCNNNNNNNNNNNNNNNNNNNNNNNNNNNNNNNNNNNNNNNNNNNNNNNNNNNNNNNNNNNNNNNNNNNNNNNNNNNNNNNNNNNNNNNNNNNNNNNNNNNNNNNNNNNNNNNNNNNNNNNNNNNNNNNNNNNNNNNNNNNNNNNNNNNNNNNNNNNNNNNNNNNNNNNNNNNNNNNNNNNNNNNNNNNNNNNNNNNNNNNNNNNNNNNNNNNNNNNNNNNNNNNNNNNNNNNNNNNNNNNNNNNNNGUGCCUGAUGGAUAUGUGUGGGGACGUUCUUUUUUUUUUCCAUGAUGGAUGAACGAUGUGGGAUGUGUAUUUUUUUAUAUCUGGGGGGUACACUCUUUUUUAGUGUCCACCGGGUUAUGAAGAUCUAAGGCCUAUGAUUUAUUAGUACAGAGAAGUUCUAUUAAAUCAACCAUCGGAUACUUCUGAUUUUUAUAGAAUUUUUGAUCAUAUUUCUCUUUGUUAGUUAACCUGCUAUUUACUUUUAAUAUAUAGUAGAUACUAUAUAUGCAGUACGUGACCAUGUAUGAGUUUGUGAGGGAUUCUCUAUAUACACAUAUGUGCGUUUGUUUUUUCCUUAUGGAACAGAUGUGCAUGCACGUGCUUUCCAAUUAACAUGGUAGGCUUGCCAAAAAAAAUUAACGUGAUUCCUCACGCAACAUCUUUUUUUAUAGAAGAGCUCUGACAACCGAAUAAUCCAGGCUUUUUUUCUAGAUUGGAAAAUAUCUACGUGGGACAUGUGCCAUGUAAAUCCUUAGAGGCCCAUCAUAUUAUAUAUGUUACGUAAAUUGAACGGUCACGUAAUCUUAAUUUUAAGAGAUUUACCGGAUCGAGGGUUAUUAUUUUCUAAUUAAUGUGGAAUUUUAUAACCUAUUUCUCUCCCUUUUGGUUCACCGUAUAUUACUUUUAGUAUAUAAAAUAGAUGGUUUUUGGAACAUGGACUUUUUCCAAAUUUAUGAAUAAAAUUUGAAAACUAGAGCAAUUUUUGACUAUAUCAAGGUUUUUUUUUAACACAAACUUUUUUUGAAAUUUUAAAACACGAUUAUUAUUUUAAUACAACCUUUCUUAGAUUUCAAAACACGUUUUUAAUGAAUAUUUUCUUAAACCCUACCAAAAGUUGAAAAUUUGAACAUUUUCAAAAACACUCCGAAGUGUGGACAUUUUCUAAAAAACGUGAAAGGAUUUAGGAAAACUUCAAACUUUUUCAAAGCACGAAUAAUUUUUGGGAAAAAUGAAACAAAAUCAAAUUCCGAACAGUUUUUGAACAUUUUUUUAGAAAUGUUGAAUUUAUGAAAAAAAAGGAUAAAUUAUGAAAGAAACGAAAAUUGGUGAAGAAGAAAACAAGAGAAGGAAAAAAACUAAAAAAUAGUGUAAGAAAAAAACACCAAUACUAGCUACUUGGGAUGGUACAUAUGCGGUUUGCUCACUGCACAUUUCCUAAAUUUUUUUAGGGGUAAAAGCAAGUUUUAAUCAUCAAACACCAUAGAGUGUGGGAUAGAGUUGGGGUCGUGGAAUUGGUUAAACCCAACGCGGCGUCCCAGACCUAACGAAAGAGAAAGACUGGCUAGACUAUGUGCUUCGACAUUGAUAGCAUGACCUUUACAAGAAAAAUUACUAUCAAAUAAAGAUGGUUGCAACUUAAUCUCGUUGAUAAUGGCUCGUUUCCCACAUAGUUUGCUCACAGUUUUUGAGAGAAAAUUUAGCCUUGAUGGGCUGGGAAAUCGGGCCAACCAAUCUCAAGUGCGACCGACUCAUCUUUGUCCACUAGAAAGCCUGCCACGUCGCCCAAGAGCCAACCCUUAUCUUUUUUUUACAGGACCCGUAUAUGUUUUAUUCCUCCAGCAAGACCGGUCGCCGCCAAGCCUCUCUCGCCCGCUCGACAGCUCCCCCCGCUGCCGGGGCUAAGCCCUGGAUCCCCCCACCCCCAGGUUGCGAGCUUGUCCCAUCCCUCCCUCUCUUCUGCGUAGCCUCGCCCCACCUCGUCUUCUCCCCCACCGGUGCUUUGCCUAGUUUCUUGGAAAAAAACUCUCGAUAAAAUAUUGGAACUCUGAUAAAAUGUGCUUUCCUGAUUGCUACACUCGGCAAAAGGGGGUAUGCACUGCACUGUUUUGGUUGUCCAUAUUGCAUACGACCUCGGAUGAAGAUGAUCCCAAAAUCAAAGUUUAUCAUUUUGACAAGAUGAUUAAUUUUCAUGUUCAGAACUUUUCCAUUUUAAGCCAUGUUAUUUACACUUUGGGCAAUGCCAAAAUAUGGUCUCAAAUGAAUAUGGCGGUGGUCAUAUUUAUAGCAUAGUUUCUGACAAUGGGCCUAAAGUUGGCAUUUUGUUGCAUCUCGCCAUUACAAACAAUGAUGCCAAAUAGAGUUUCCAACAUUUUGUACAAAAACUAAUUUUCCCAUUUGCUAAGUGUAAAAAAUGGAUAUUUUAUGAAGCGGGUAAAAAAACAUAGUGCAAAAUGGCACCACCCCAAUUUACAUAAAAAGUAGACCACAUGUUUUAGAAAAUUCCCAGGUUUUGUGGAUCUUCUAGAUUUCUAGCUACUUUCCACAGUUAAAUUCAAAUUUGAACUUUAAGUCUGUGAUAGCUUUGUCCUAAAAAUUAGCAAAAAUGUAAUCUAUUUUUUUAGGUAUGCAAGUAGUCAUUUUAUGAAAUCACCACUUAAGUUUGAGAGAUUCAGGCCCUUGCCAUGACUAUCCAUGCCGGGCAUUUUGACCCCGUUUUGGAAAAAUGAAACAAAAAGGAUACAAGUUCAAAAAAAAUGCAAUCCAUUCGUAUGGACUCCUUUUAUGUGUACUAGCUAGGAUGAAAAUACCAAACUUCAAUAUGAAAACUUUGAAAGAAAAAUAUCCAUCACAAAACGGGCUAUCAUGUAUGAACCUUCACGGCUUUAAAGUCAAACGACCAAGGUGACGACAAUAUCCAUUCCAUAGUUUAUUAUAUUAUGCCCAAAUUAGACAUAUAGGUGAAUCAUGCCAUUGCAAAUAAUGUUGUAAAAUAGAGUUUCCAACUUUUUGUACAAAAAAUCAUUUACUAUUUUCUAAGUAUCAAAAAAAUGGGUGUUUCUUGUGAAGUGGGUUCAAAAAAUAGAGUGGAAAAUGGCACCACUCCAAUUUUCACAAAAAGUAGACCAUAUUAGAUGGACAAUUCCCAAGUUUUGUAGAUGUCUAGAUAAAAACUAACAAUUGGUGUAUUUUUUAAUAUUUAAUGAAAAUAAAAAACGGGCGAGAAUAUGACCAGGGGUGUAAACUGUGGAGGGGGCGCCGCACACGGCUAACAAUUGAUGUUGUGUGUUCUAGGCGCCCCCUUCCCCACAUAUAUAUAGGUGGGAGGGGAGGGGAGGCAGCCAGGGGGCACCCCAAGUAGGAUCUGAAUCCUACUUGGGGUUUCCCCAANNNNNNNNNNNNNNNNNNNNNNNNNNNNNNNNNNNNNNNNNNNNNNNNNNNNNNNNNNNNNNNNNNNNNNNNNNNNNNNNNNNNNNNNNNNNNNNNNNNNNNNNNNNNNNNNNNNNNNNNNNNNNNNNNNNNNNNNNNNNNNNNNNNNNNNNNNNNNNNNNNNNNNNNNNNNNNNNNNNNNNNNNNNNNNNNNNNNNNNNNNNNNNNNNNNNNNNNNNNNNNNNNNNNNNNNNNNNNNNNNNNNNNNNNNNNNNNNNNNNNNNNNNNNNNNNNNNNNNNNNNNNNNNNNNNNNNNNNNNNNNNNNNNNNNNNNNNNNNNNNNNNNNNNNNNNNNNNNNNNNNNNNNNNNNNNNNNNNNNNNNNNNNNNNNNNNNNNNNNNNNNNNNNNNNNNNNNNNNNNNNNNNNNNNNNNNNNNNNNNNNNNNNNNNNNNNNNNNNNNNNNNNNNNNNNNNNNNNNNNNNNNNNNNNNNNNNNNNNNNNCCCCCGGUACUCCUAUAAAUACCCGAUACAUUCGGGAACACUUCCGGUGUCCGAAUACUAUCAUCCUAUAUAUCAAUCUUUACCUGUCGACCAUUUCGAGAUUCCUCGGCAUGUCCAUGAUCUUAUUCGGGACUCCGAACAACAUUCGGUCACCAUAUCACAUAACUCAUAUAAUACAAUAUCAUUAUCGAACGUUAAGCAUGCGGACCCUACGGGUUCGAGAACUAUGUAGACAUGAUCGAGACACCUCUCCGGUCAAUAACCAAUAGCGGAACCUGGAUGCUCAUAUUUGAUCCUACAUAUUCUACGAAUAUCUUUAUCGGUCGAACCGUUAUGACAACAUACAUUAUUCCCUUUGUCUAUCGGUAUGUUACUUGCCCGAGAUUCGAUCGUCGGUAUCUGCAUACCUAGUUCAAUAUCAUUACUGGCAAGUCUCUUUACUCGUUUUGUAAUACAUCACCUCACUAACGGAUGGGUCUUGUCCAUCACAUCAUUCUUCUAAUGAUGUGAUCCCGUUAUCAAAUGACACCUCAUGUCCAUGGUUAGGAAACCUUAACUAUCUUUGAUCAACGAGCUAGUCAAGUAGAGGCUCACUAGGGACAUAGUGUUUGUCUAUGUAUUCACACACGUAUUGAGGUUUCCGAUCAAUACAAUUCUAGCAUGGAUAAUAAACAUUUAUCAUGAAUAAGGAAACAUAAAAUAAGAACUUUAUUAUUGCCUCUAGGGCAUAUUUCCUUCAAAUCAGUAUAUGUGUGCAUGCUUGGUUGUUAGUGAAAUGUUUUAUGUAUAUGUGUACAUGCUUGGUUGGGCCAACUUUGUGUAUUACAUUUUGUGAAAUACAAACUUGAUAUAUGCCACAUUUGUGUUAACGACCAAUAAGUAUAUACGUAACUAUAUUUUGCCUUCUUUUUCCUCCUCCACAAGAAAAGGUCCCAUGCUUUUCUCCUCCUCCAAUUGGCGCCGUAGCUAGUCCGCCCCAUCUUUGAUGGCCUUUGGGCCCUUUAGUACUGUACCGAACCAGCAGCCUUCGCGCCAAGCGACGACCGCCCUUGUCCCUUUCCUUUUUCCAUUCAGCCUACUUCUUAGCUUUGUUCUGUCAGUCUAAGGCAAAGCUUAAGUGGUUUGCCUACCUUACCCACUUGAUGAAAGGGAACGGACUUCAUUUCCUUGGCGGCUUUAUGGAUGGAUUCAGUCAGAAAAAACUCCUUCCUUUUGAAAAAAGUGACGCCACGAAGGUGAGUAGGACCUCAGGCCCUCGCUGGCGGGAGGGAACCUGUUCUCAUUCUUUUUUGGUUCAAUGUCUUGCUGGAGCGCUGUGUUGCGGCUAUGAUGUCUCUCAGUAGGAAUAAUGUUUCACAUGUUCUAUCCCUGUCUCGAUGGUGCCUCUAGCAUCAUCAUAGGGCAUGUGGAGGUGUGUCUCUAUCGGAUUUCGCAGGAUUCGGUCGGCAUUAGUCUUCGGUGGAUCUGUUUGGACACGGUCUAUGUUCAUCUUUGUGGUGUUUAUACUAUUGAUCCUUCCGAUCUAUGACUUUCUUCAUCGACGAUGGUUGCUGCUUCGGUGCGCUGGUCCUAUGGGUCCUUAGCACGUCAACUUCCUGACUAUUGACUACAACAAGGUUUGCCCGGCUCCAGCGAUCGGGGGGGGGGGUGAUGGCGAUGCACAGCUUUCUUUAGUGCUUGUAGUCAUCACUAGGUGGUCCAUGGACCUGGUUGUAAUUUUUUGUAUCUCUGGUGUUCUUUGUACUGCCAUGAUUGAAGAUGAAUAGAUUGGAAGUUUCUCACGCAAAAAUAACUAUAUAAAUAACUAUUUUAGCAAAAUUCGCAAAAAAAACUAUUUUAGCAAGUAAUAAAUUUUGACACCAAUUAUAUGGUAGUAAUUAAUAUUUACCCUAAUAAUAUCCGCAUUGGAUUCAGGUUUUAUACUAUGUAUACAAACGAGAGUAUGUUUGGAUAAUUGUGUGAACACAAGGAUAUAUCUUAGCAAAACUAUUUUUAGCAACAAGUAAAUGAAUUAAUAUAUGCUAGCUAUACUCUGCUGGUGAAAACAUGGUGUAUUAGUUGUACAAAGCAUGCAACACGGUUUCACUCCCCUUUAUAUUCCUGGGCGGAACACAAUUUCAGAUCCAAGUUUUAUGUUUGUCUACACAGUCCCAUCUUCUUCCCAUAUCAGCAGGAAAAUUCACUCCAAUCAUCUCGCCAUUCUACACUUGGGUAAUCAGGUUUGCUUCAAUCUACCAUCCUUGAAUAUAUGCCCCACAUCUUGUUUCUGCGUCCUAAUCUUAUUAAGCUUGUAAUUAGUAGUUAGUGCAAGAUCAAAAAGGAGCUAUGGACAAAACACCAUCCGCACCUGCUGAUAAAAUCACCAUAGGACAAGCGGUGCCUAAUCAUGAAAUAGCAGGAGAUUCAAGUGACAGUGAGAGAACAAUCAGUGAGGGUUAUGUGGGGAUCAUGUAUGGUGGUAGCCAAACCCACGAUGGCAACCUAGAAGGAGAAUCUGAUAUGGUAUUGCUAGCAACAGAUUCAAGUGACAGCGAGAGAACAACCAGUGAGGGUUAUGUGGGGAUCCUGUAUGGUGGUAGCCAAAUCCAGGAUGGAGACCUGGAGGGAGAAUCGGCUAUGGUAUUGCCUGCUGUAGGAGAGAAUACCACGGCGAGAUCUAACAGUCAUGGUUAUACGCGUAGCUUGGAAAUUGAUUCUACCUCUCGUAGUGAGAGGCAUGCUGCCAGGUCAGAUUCUGUUCUAGUGGCACAACGCCGAGACUGCAUACAAAUUUACCCUGAGUGGCUGGAGAAAAUUGAUUCAGGCAAAAAGAUGUGGACAGCUCUCAACCAAUUUCGAGCAAAUGGGAAGCACGAAGAGGUUAGUAUAUACACAUGUUCUGGUGUGCUCUCUCAUCAAAUAAUUUUCAUUGUGGGUUAAUCAUCUCAUAACAUAAGGAGUGUUUGCUUGAUGGGCAUUCAGACCAAAUGAUGAACGAAUUAGAUCCUAGGUUCUCCAAAAGAUGACAUUGUGUUUUGCUUCCGUUACCUCAUAGAUUUUCAGCCUUUGCGUCAAAAUGAUUUUAUGCAUUUGUUUUCGCACUAACUUGUAUUUUUUAAGCACAACCAUCCAUAUAUGUAAAAAAACUCAUGGCCACGUGUGAUUGAUAGAAAUCAGUUAACAUCUCAAUUUCCUCAUGUGCUAUUGUAUGACUACGGAGGUUUUUCUAACAUGAUCCUUCUUACCUCCCCUUUUCACAUGAGACGUAAGAGUAUAAAGUAAAUCUGAGCCAUUGACUGCAUUAAGUAGUAAACUUGACUAAAUCUUACCUUCUUAACUCCCAUGUGAAAAGAUGGGGUAAGAGGAAGCAUGUUAAAAUGCCUCAUGAAUGUGGUGCUGCCGCCAGUGGCAGAGCUUGAGCAUAAUCCAAGAGGGCCAUUACUUGAAGGGGGGGAAAUUAGAAGGGAAUGAGGGGAAAAUAUCUAGUUUAAACACUAGUUAGGCUUAAAAUAUAGUAUAUUCAUUGAUGGGUGCAAAAAUUAAGGGGGGCCAUGGCCCCUGUUGGUCUACAUGAAGCUCCGCCACUUGCUGCCGCACAUUCUGUAGUGUUGUUAUAGACACUGACUGACUCUUGUUUUUGCACUAUAUCCAAAUGUACUAGCAGUCAUAAGACACCAAUCUGUCAGGAUCUCGGCUUUUGGCCUUCUGCUAGAAUGCACUAAAGAUAUUGAUAAGUCUCGCCAUUCCUGGAUGUUGCGAAGGUUACCUGACUGGAACAGAUUGUUCUGGAGAAGGAUAUGGAGGCGCGGCAAACCUAAAGCAGCGACGAUGCAACAAAUGGAAUGUGAUCGAGAAUGGUAUUAUCUACAGGAGCACACCAGAGAGCAUACAAAUUAGGGUCUGCAUGGACGACCAAAACAGAUGGCAUUUUUUUAUCAACUAGCCCAUCCUUUUUUCUUUGAUCUACUAACAUUGGUUGCCAUUUCGGGCUUUUGGGCCAACCUUCGGGCGAGAAAUUGAAGCCCAAGCCUACCCCAGAUGUCGGGCUUUGGGUCAGGCCUCUGGGCCGGGUAGUCCAUGAACAGGUUUAGUUUGAUCUAUUCACUCACAUUUUGAUCCUCGUUCAUUAUAGCAUUUAACCAUAAUUCAUAUGAACAUGCACCACGAGAAUAUAAUAAAGGAAAUGCAUGGGUCAAUUUGUAGUACACAACGCCUUAUUGUGCGAUAUCACAAGAACAUUUUUCACCUUGAUUACAGUAGUAACUACUGUGCAAUCUUAUAUAUCAAAUCAUAUAUUAUAUGACAAAUUAAGUAUAUUUUUUUGCUUAUUUCAGUAUUACCUUCAUAAGGAAUAUAGUCACAAAUUUUGCUCCAAACGCAACGUUAUUGAGUUCAUACGAAAUGGAACUGUGAAAGGGAAGUCGGUUCAGAAGGUGCCUAAAUACUUGACUUUCAAACAUAUAGUAAUUAUGCGAAGAUGUAUAUGUUUUUUGUAUUAAAUUUAAAGUAUUAAUUUGACACGGAAUCCUAUUUUUGCACAGAGAUCAUCUGAUACUUCUACGAACAAUCUUCAUGGUAUGUCCAGUUGGCCCCAUGCAUUUGGAUAUUAUUUUGUCUACUAUUAUUACUAUAGAGAGAAAUCUAACUGAAACUGAAAUAUAAUAAAUAUUCAUGGAGAGAAAAAUAGACAUUAAUGUCCACAUACACAACAAAAUUAACCAGUAUUGUCCUAGUUUACAUGAAUUAAUAUUUGCAAUGACAAUUAGGUUACUCAUGACAUGAUAAAGAAAAAGUUUUUUGUGAGGUAAGAUAAGGUUUUAUAUAACUGUUCAUGGGGACCUCCUCAUGGUUGCAGAUACAUAGUAUUAUAGUGCUUCAUGAAAUAGUUGCAUAUCACCAUGUCUAAAAGAAGAAUCAUGACGGACACAACUUCAAGAAAUUCUUCUUGUCAAAUAACAUGAUUUGUAUAUACCUCAUAGAGGAUGUAACUUGUUGGUAGAAUUUAAUAUUGUGACACACUCGCCAUCUUUUGUGCCAGCAUUAUUUGGGUGAUGAUUUAAUAUCCAAAAGCAUACAUCAAGGUAGUUAUGUGCAAUGAUAUUCUUGUGAAAAUAACUUCCAUAGUGUAUACUUGCAUAUAUGUAUUGCUCUAUUGUAUUCUCACACUUAAUCCUUUUUCUUAAUUUUUUGUUUGCUUAUUUAUGUUUAUAGCAAGAUUAUAAAUUAAGCUGAGCAUAAUUUCUGCAGAUUAUAGAUGGCCCACUAAAAGACAAAGGGCGAAGGUGCAAACUUCAAGUAAUUCUUCUUGCCACAUAGGUUUUUCUAAUUGUGCGAGCAUACCACUUGUAACUGCCUUCAGUCAUCUAUGUCAGUAGUAUUUUGAGAAGAAUUUCAUUACAAAAUGCAACGACUCAAACAAUCAGAUUGUUCAUGAUGAUUCCUAAUUGUAUAACCAAUAAGCUUAACACACCUUCCUAUUUUAGAGUUGUUAUCUUAAUAAGUAUAUAUUAUCUGUUAUAAUGUUGUUGUUGGGUGAAGAACAUUUGUUGCUCAUGGUUAGAAUGCAGAAUUUUCUUAACACAACAACCUAGAGCGAAUGUGGAGGCCAAUAUAGAUUGAAACCAUUAAUUCAUAUUAAAAUGGUCAUGACUUCUUAUUUUUAUUUGACAUAAAUGUUUGUGACUUGUUUGAAUUAAUGUGUUCUGCAAUUAUAUGAUACUUCCAUAUUCAUACUAUUUUUAUGAAAUGUGCAGCUAGUUUGUCGACAGGAGCACGAACAACCACAACUUCUACAAAGCUUCCACAUGGUUUCAUUUAGUAUCAUGCAAAAGACAUUGAGACAAUCAAGAUUACUUGAGCAACCUGAAUUAUGUUAGUUGUUACCUGCUUUCAAACGAAUCUGUCCUCUCAUAGUAUGCAUGUACUUCUGUUGUUGAGGAAUUUAUAUCAUUAGACAUUUAUGUUUUUCAUAAUUAUUGAUUAAUGGGUACAUACCUUCAAUCCUAGAAGAUUAUCAGAUAGCCAGUCAAGGAAGCAAUUUGUUUAUUGAAUUGGGCAUAAUAGG
RNAcentral lists this long non-coding RNA (35883 nucleotides) under Triticum aestivum (bread wheat). Its description in RNAcentral is "long non-coding RNA (TAES_LNC002260)". The record is from RNAcentral. Lineage: Eukaryota; Viridiplantae; Streptophyta; Magnoliopsida; Poales; Poaceae.